RNAcentral lists this long non-coding RNA (854 nucleotides) under Callithrix jacchus (white-tufted-ear marmoset). Its description in RNAcentral is "lncRNA (ENSCJAG00000086018.1)". The record is from RNAcentral. Lineage: Eukaryota; Metazoa; Chordata; Mammalia; Primates; Cebidae.
AUUCUCAGUGAGUCACUUACCAUUUGGAUUCUCUCAAUUGACCUAUUUUCCCUGAGCCUCUUGAGCCAUUCAGAGUUCAUUUUUAUGUGUCCUUUUAGCUGUGAGAAACAAGACCAGAGCCCUCCUUCUCUUUGUUUCGCCUGUAUCUUCUUGGCUCAUUAUCUUGCAGAGCAGACAGGCUUUCUCUGGGUGACUGAAAACAAGGCCGCCACCCUCUCCAACUUCAGAUUCUUCCUGAUCCAUCCCCCAGGCACAAGGCCCUCCUCCAACUCCAGCUGAAAAAAAUCCCAGGGAAGGACUUUGAUUGGCCUUGUUUGAGUCACAUGUUUCCCUCACCAAGGGGUUAGUCUUGUGAUGACCACACAGUCCUUCACCAUGUGUCUGGAGUUAGGGCAGAAGAAGGUGCAGCGCCCCCAGAACACGGGUGGGCAGUGCUGGAGCGGAAAUUUCUGUUGGACGGCACCGAUGUGGACACUCCACAGAAGCCAAACACACAGCAGAAUGAGCCAAGAACACGCUGGUGAUGAGGGCAAGACACGUACAGAACAAGGAGGGAGCAGACGCCGGAGGGCAGGUGAGUCUACGGGAAUGGCUGGGGGACACAUGUGGCCCCAGGGUUGGGGGUGACACCUUAGUCUCUUAGGUGGGAACCAAAGCCCUUACUGCUAGUUACUGGAAGAGCCCACGCCAGUGUCAGAACCAGCACUUGUGGGCUGGGCCAGCAGCUCAUUCCUGUAAUUUCAGUGCUUUGGGCAGCCAAGGUGGGAGGACUGCUUGAGGCCAGGAGUUCAAAACCAGCCUGGGCAACAUAGGGAGACAUCAUCUCCCCAUGUCUCCUGCUUACUGGAAGCAAG